AUACGUAGGGGGCUAGCGUUAUCCGGAAUUACUGGGCGUAAAGAGUGCGUAGGUGGUUUCUUAAGUCAGAAGUGAAAGGCUACGGCUCAACCGUAGUAAGCUUUUGAAACUAAGAGACUUGAGUGCAGGAGAGGAGAGUAGAAUUCCUAGUGUAGCGGUGAAAUGCGUAGAUAUUAGGAGGAAUACCAGUUGCGAAGGCGGCUCUCUGGACUGUAACUGACACUGAGGCACGAAAGCGUGGGGAGCAAACAGGAUUAGAUACCCUGGUAGUCCACGCCGUAAACGAUGAGUACUAGCUGUCGGGGGUUACCCCCCUCGGUGGCGCAGCUAACGCAUUAAGUACUCCGCCUGGGAAGUACGCUCGCAAGAGUGAAACUCAAAUGAAUUGGCGGGG
This 394-nucleotide ribosomal RNA is filed under the name uncultured bacterium. RNAcentral's name for it is "partial 16S ribosomal RNA". It matches the Rfam family "Bacterial small subunit ribosomal RNA", at positions 523 to 918 of the family's 1533-position model. The record is from RNAcentral.